RNAcentral lists this ribosomal RNA (496 nucleotides) under uncultured bacterium. Its description in RNAcentral is "bacterial SSU rRNA". It matches the Rfam family "Bacterial small subunit ribosomal RNA", at positions 15 to 507 of the family's 1533-position model. The record is from RNAcentral.
GAUCCUGGCUCAGAUUGAACGCUAGCGGGAUGCCUUACACAUGCAAGUCGAACGGCAGCGCGGACUUCGGUCUGGCGGCGAGUGGCGAACGGGUGAGUAAUGUAUCGGAACGUGCCUAGUAGCGGGGGAUAACUACUCGAAAGAGUAGCUAAUACCGCAUACGCCCUACGGGGAAAGGGGGGGAUCGCAAGACCUCUCACUAUUAGAGCGGCCGAUAUCGGAUUAGCUAGUUGGUGAGGUAAAGGCUCACCAAGGCGACGAUCCGUAGCUGGUUUGAGAGGACGACCAGCCACACUGGGACUGAGACACGGCCCAGACUCCUACGGGAGGCAGCAGUGGGGAAUUUUGGACAAUGGGGGAAACCCUGAUCCAGCCAUUCCGCGUGUGCGAUGAAGGCCUUCGGGUUGUAAAGCACUUUUGGCAGGAAAGAAAUCGCAUCAAUUAAUACUUGGUGUGGAUGACGGUACCUGCAGAAUAAGCACCGGCUAACUACGUG